AUUGAACGCUGGCGGCAUGCCUUACACAUGCAAGUCGAACGGCAGCACGGGUGCGUUCACCUGGUGGCGAGUGGCGAACGGGUGGGUAAGACAUAGGAACAUGUCCGGUAGGUGGGGGGGGCCCGCGGAAGGCCGGUUUAAUACCGCAUACGAUCGACGUACGAAAGCGGGGCGCGUACGGCCGUGCCUCGCGGGGUUGGAUGAGGCCAUGUUUGAUUAGCUAGUUGGCGGGGUAAAGGCCAACCAAGGCGACGAUCGGUAGCUGGUCUGAGAGGACGACCAGCCACACUGGGACUGAGACACGGCCCAGACUCCUACGGGAGGCAGCAGUGGGGAAUUUUGGACAAUGGGCGAAAGCCUGAUCCAGCAAUGCCGCGUGUGUGAAGAAGGCCUUCGGGUUGUAAAGCACUUUUGUCCGGAAAGAAAUCCUUGGCCCUAAUACGGUCGGGGGAUGACGGUACCGGAAGAAUAAGCACCGGCUAACUACGUG
This 490-nucleotide ribosomal RNA is filed under the name uncultured bacterium. Its description in RNAcentral is "partial 16S ribosomal RNA". It matches the Rfam family "Bacterial small subunit ribosomal RNA", at positions 29 to 507 of the family's 1533-position model. The record is from RNAcentral.